UCAAUUCAUGCAGUUAGGAUGACUUGCUUUGUACAUGUUCUUCUCCUUCUCCGUUGCCGCUAUUAUCCACUAGUCCAGUGAGUUUGGGAUUUAUCUGAGUUCCCUUUAACAAAUUGAAUGCAUGUGAUGGUUCAUUCAAGCUCUCAGGAUAAGUUGCAGGAUUGGCCCGACCUUCUCUUUAUUGAGGAUACUUAAGGGAAUCUCUGGACUGGAAGUAACACUGUCGAUAUACCUGUGAAUUAUGAGAUCCGGAAAAAGAGGUACAGGCCCUAGAGUUGCAAAGCGACACUUGAAAUUCCUUCCCCGCAGCCAAAAAAACUAAGUGGAGAGUGCACUGCCAGGAGAGAGACUCGAUCUUCACAGAAUAUUCUGUGGGGAAGUGCUUCUGAAAAGCAUGAUGCCGAGUUCAGAUUCCUCUGCCAGAUUGAAGGUUCAAGUCGGAAAAUUGAUGGCUCUCUUGCUCAUCGCACAGUCAGUGUCAACUGAAAAUCCAGAAACUCUGCGCACCCCUUUCAUCUAAUGUUUUUCCUAUAGAGGAUGAUUUCCUGGAUAACAUAACAAAUUCAGUGCUUCAGCUAGCUUCGGUUAUAAAUCAGACUGCCUGUUAGGUUCAGGAUGGGAGGAUGAGUCUAUUGUAGCUGGCAGAUCAACGGAGGAUGCCUCAUUUUAGGGAGUCUCUUGAACUUGAUGACAGUUCAAAUGUGAUGCAUGAGAGAAGGAAAAACUAUUUAUACGGAGCACAGAAGACUGAUACAUGAUGGAUCAUCUUUUGCUAGUGAUGAAGAUAUUAAGUUUGAAAAAAGUAACUACAUGAAUAAACAAAAUCGCCUUGAAGAUGAUUAUAGUUUUGAAUUUGAAGUAGCUGAUGAUGUUAACCAGGUCUUCAGACAUAGGUGUCCUGGAGGCAAGACCAAGGAAAUAUAUUUUGAGAACUUCCCCUGCAGAAAAACUCAGAGCAAGGCAUUGCGGAGUCAAAAUUUGACAGGAGAUUGAGAAAAAUCUUCAUUAUCCAAGGACAUUCUGGAUGAAGACGAUCAUCUUAUGUAUUUCAAUUAACAGACUGAAAAUUAUGGUUUUGGUGUCUCACGAGAUAAACUGGUGUUGAUGGGAGAAAGAUAUGCGACAUCAAAAUACAACCAUUCAUAUGAUAUGCAUACUUUCCUAGCAAGCUUUGGCUUUAAAGGAGAGGCUCUGAGCUCUAUUUCUGACGUUUCUUUUUGGAAAUUCUAAAACUCAUGGGAGGCCAAAUGGAUAUCGUAAGGUUUUGACGGAUGGCAAGUGUUUGUACCUUGGAAUUGAUGACUGUAGAGAAGACGUUGGUACAACAGUCAUUUCUUCAUGAUGUAUUUUACAACCAACCUUUUUCGAAGGAAGCAAAUGCAUUCCAAGCACUUCUAGUUUUCUCAAAAUCAAACAAGUAAAAAAUAUUGAUUUACAUACUUUACUUCUAAAGAUGUACUCUGAUCUCAUUGUUCUUUUGGUUUGUAUGUAUAAUCUUGAACACAUCCCAGUGUCUCCUUCAAAACUGUUUAUAUUGAAAGGUCCGUCUUUGAUACACUAGCUAACUUAAGGAUAUUUCCUGUCUGGUUUCUUAGAUUUUGUUCAUUUGCAUGCACUGAGGAUGACCUGCUUUGCACACGUGCUUCUCCUUCUCCUUGCCACUGUUGUCCAGUGGGUUUGAGAUUCAUCUGAGUUCCCUUAACAAAUUGAAUGCAAGCGUUGGUGCAUUCAAGCUUUAAGGAUACUUCUCAGGUCCUGAUGUUUACACAGUGAAGGUAUACUGGCCCAAAUUGAUGGAUAAAGAGAUGUGAUAAGUCAUCUUUUCUUUUCUCUGUUUCCCUAACAACCAAUGUUUAAUUUGUAGGUCCUUCAGUAUUUCUAUAUUCACUUAUAUCAGUAUGUUGUCCUGA
Long non-coding RNA from Solanum dulcamara, 1910 nucleotides. RefSeq lists it as uncharacterized. The transcript has 6 exons. The record is from RefSeq and is a predicted model, not a curated record. NCBI's taxonomy places the organism in Eukaryota, Viridiplantae, Streptophyta, Magnoliopsida, Solanales, Solanaceae.